Long non-coding RNA from Cuculus canorus (common cuckoo), 1320 nucleotides. RefSeq lists it as uncharacterized. The record is from RefSeq and is a predicted model, not a curated record. Lineage: Eukaryota; Metazoa; Chordata; Aves; Cuculiformes; Cuculidae. The transcript has 3 exons.
AUAACAUCUUAAUUCUUCCACUGCUGGAGGGCAAAUGAGUCUCCAUAACCCCAACAAAACCUGCCUUCAAGCCUUAUAGCAAAGCUUUAUAGAAGCACUGUGGAUCUUCCCUACAUGGAAACAUUGAGUCAUUUCUUCUAAGGGGAACAUGCUGUGUUUGACAGACCACUGCUCUCCCUCAACAAGGUUAUGGUGACAUUCAUCACACAGUACUGCUGAGUACAGAAGUUGGAUGCACUUCAUAACAUCUCCUCUCCCCCACUUAAUCUGCUCAUGGCCUGCAAAAAAGAAUAUCUGCGUGGUGUUUUCAAAUUACUUGUCUAUUGGAAAUUAAGCUUAAUCAGCAAAUCUGAAGUCACAGCAAACACUCCAGCAUUUAUGUUGGCAAGAAGCCCAGGUAUUAAUCAAGGGUAGUAGUCCUUCCACAGACCUGCAGAUAUCCCUGCGGACAGAAUAAAGCAAAGUCUCUUUAGGAACCUCAGCUGCUCAGAGGAGGCAAUCCAAAUUGGCGUUGUGUAUAUUCACAGUGUCCCGAGCCAGAAGUCAGUCUCUGGGCUACAUCUGUACAGUAUCGAUGGGAUCAGGAGUUUCCAGCAGCUACCACAGCAACAAUCAGAAGCAAAAGGCAAUGCUGAGACUUGAAAGACAGGAGGAGCAGAGCCAACAUAAGAGAGUCAAAGGCAGCUUGAAUUCCACAUAAUAUAAGACAGAUAAAACUUAAGCCCUAUGUGUAUAUACAUAGAGAUAUACAUAGACAUUCUUUGUAUCAAAGCUUUCUGAAGCUCAAGCCUUUGUCCCAGCUUUGUUAAGAUUCUCAGGGUUCAGUUCCUGGACAACUGCAAAAACAGAAUCCACGCUGUUAGCCCAGGGCGAUGUGAAGAUAAUUCAGCACAACCCUCCAUCAUUUCAGACUAAGCUAAACUGCACUAUCUCACAGUUGGUAGGGAGUAAGGGUGUACACAAAGACUGUUUCCAUGGUUCAGCUGCCGCAAGAGAAUUUCUUAAGUAAUUUGACUGAAACUGAGCCCUCAGACCCAGAGCUGACUGACACAAAUGUUACGGAGUGGCUUGGGGAAAGCUAGACACUUUUAUACCUCUUGCUGCCAAAUAUUUACCAUCUGUGCAGCACAGCACCGAUAGAUGAGCUACUCGUAACUCAGCCCAAUGGCUCAGGUCACUCACAGGGAAAGUCGGAACAGAAACUUCCUUCCUUCAGAGAGCCAAGACGCUCCAUGUCUGCAUGUUACCCAUGACUUGCAGAACGGAAAAAACAAAUUAAUUGUCACAGGCUGUUGUGGAAAAGAAGACUUGAAUAAAAUA